UGGGGAAUAUUGCACAAUGGGGGAAACCCUGAUGCAGCGACGCCGCGUGAGCGAAGAAGGUUUUCGAAUCGUAAAGCUCUGUCCUAAGAGAAGAUAAUGACGGUAUCAUAGGAGGAAGCCCCGGCUAGAUACGUGCCAGCAGCCGCGGUAAUACGUAUGGGGCGAGCGUUGUCCGGAAUUAUUGGGCGUAAAGGGUACGUAGGCGGUCUAUUAAGUCAGGUGUGAAAGCGUGAGGCUUAACCUCAUUAAGCACUUGAAACUGAUAGACUUGAGUGAAGGAGAGAGAAGUAGAAUUACUAGUGUGGCGGUGAAAUGCGUAGAUAUUAGGAGGAAUACCGGUGGCGAAGGCGACUUUCUGGACUUUUACUGACGCUCAGGUACGAAAGCGAGGGAAGCAAACAGG
This 403-nucleotide ribosomal RNA is filed under the name Verrucomicrobiota bacterium. RNAcentral describes it as "Verrucomicrobia bacterium partial 16S ribosomal RNA". It matches the Rfam family "Bacterial small subunit ribosomal RNA", at positions 355 to 776 of the family's 1533-position model. The record is from RNAcentral. Lineage: Bacteria; Pseudomonadati; Verrucomicrobiota.